GACACGACCGUACCGCAAACCGACACUGGUGCGCGAGAUGAGUAUUCUAAGGCGCUUGAGAGAACUCAGGAGAAGGAACUCGGCAAAUUGACACCGUAACUUCGGAAGAAGGUGUGCCUUUAGUAGGUGAACCAUUUACUUGGGGAGCCCAAUGAGGCUGCAAAAAAUCGGUGGCUGCAACUGUUUAUUAAAAACACAGCACUCUGCUAAGACGAAAGUCGACGUAUAGGGUGUGACGCCUGCCCGGUGCUGGAAGAUUAAAUGAUGGGGUGCAAGCUCUUGAUUGAAGUCCCAGUAAACGGCGGCCGUAACUAUAACGGUCCUAAGGUAGCGAAAUUCCUUGUCGGGUAAGUUCCGACCUGCACGAAUGGCGUAAUGAUGGCCACACUGUCUCCUCCUGAGACUCAGCGAAGUUGAAAUGUUUGUGGUGAUGCAAUCUCCCCGCGGAAAGACGGAAAGACCCCAUGAACCUUUACUGUAGCUUUGUAUUGGACUUUGAACAGAUCUGUGUAGGAUAGGUGGGAGUCUUUGAAGUGUGGUCGCUAGAUCGCAUGGAGCCAACGUUGAAAUACCACCAUGGUGUGUUUGAGGUUCUAACCUAGGUCCAUUAUCCGGAUCGGGGACAGUGCAUGGUAGGCAGUUUGACUGGGGCGGUCUCCUCCCAAAGUGUAACGGAGGAGUUCGAAGGUACGCUAGGUACGGUCGGACAUCGUGCUAAUAGUGCAAUGGCAUAAGCGUGCUUAACUGCGAGACUGACAAGUCGAGCAGAUGCGAAAGCAGGACAUAGUGAUCCGGUGGUUCUGUAUGGAAGGGCCAUCGCUCAACGGAUAAAAGGUACUCUGGGGAUAACAGGCUGAUACCGCCCAAGAGUUCAUAUCGACGGCGGUGUUUGGCACCUCGAUGUCGGCUCAUCCCAUCCUGGGGCUGUAGCCGGUCCCAAGGGUAUGGCUGUUCGCCAUUUAAAGAGGUACGUGAGCUGGGUUUAAAACGUCGUGAGACAGUUUGGUCCCUAUCUUCCGUGGGCGCUGCAGAUUUGAGGAAGCCUGCUCCUAGUACGAGAGGACCGGAGUGGACGAACCUCUGGUGUAUCGGUUGUCACGCCAGUGGCAUUGCCGAGUAGCUAAGUUCGGAAGAGAUAACCGCUGAAAGCAUCUAAGCGGGAAACUCGUUUCAAGAUUAGAUCUGCCGGGGCCUUGAGCCCCCUAAAGAGUCGUUCAAGACCAGGACGUUGAUAGGUCAGGUGUGGAAGC
Molecule: ribosomal RNA, 1250 nt
Filed under: metagenome
Description: bacterial LSU rRNA
Rfam family: Bacterial large subunit ribosomal RNA
Source: RNAcentral